GUGGGGAAUCUUCCGCAAUGGACGAAAGUCUGACGGAGCAACGCCGCGUGAGUGAAGAAGGUUUUCGGAUCGUAAAGCUCUUUCGUUAGGGACGAACGUGCUCUUUGUGAAUAAUGAGGAGUAAUGACGGUACCUAAAUAAGAAGCCACGGCUAACUACGUGCCAGCAGCCGCGGUAAUACGUAGGGGGCAAGCGUUGUCCGGAAUUAUUGGGCGUAAAGCGCGCGCAGGCGGGAUAUCAAGUCUGUCUUAAAAGUGCGAGGCUCAACCUCGUGAGGGGACAGAAACUGGUAUUCUUGAGUGUCGGAGAGGAAAGUGGAAUUCCAAGUGUAGCGGUGAAAUGCGUAGAGAUUUGGAAGAACACCAGUGGCGAAGGCGACUUUCUGGACGAUGUCUGACGCUGAGGCGCGAAAGCUAGGGGAGCGAACGGGAUUAGAUACCCCUGUAGUCC
RNAcentral lists this ribosomal RNA (450 nucleotides) under uncultured bacterium. RNAcentral describes it as "partial 16S ribosomal RNA". It matches the Rfam family "Bacterial small subunit ribosomal RNA", at positions 354 to 796 of the family's 1533-position model. The record is from RNAcentral.